RNAcentral lists this ribosomal RNA (429 nucleotides) under Chloroflexota bacterium. Its description in RNAcentral is "Chloroflexi bacterium partial 16S ribosomal RNA". It matches the Rfam family "Bacterial small subunit ribosomal RNA", at positions 355 to 776 of the family's 1533-position model. Lineage: Bacteria; Bacillati; Chloroflexota. The record is from RNAcentral.
UGGGGAAUAUUGCACAAUGGGCGCAAGCCUGAUGCAGCCAUGCCGCGUGUAUGAAGAAGGCCUUCGGGUUGUAAAGUACUUUCAGCGGGGAGGAAGGGAGUAAAGUUAAUACCUUUGCUCAUUGACGUUACCCGCAGAAGAAGCACCGGCUAACUCCGUGCCAGCAGCCGCGGUAAUACGGAGGGUGCAAGCGUUCAUCGGAAUUACUGGGCGUAAAGCGCACGCAGGCGGUUUGUUAAGUCAGAUGUUAAAUCCCCGGGCUCAACCUGGGAACUGCAUCUGAUACUGGCAAGCUUGAGUCUCGUAGAGGGGGGUAGAAUUCCAGGUGUAGCGGUGAAAUGCGUAGAGAUCUGGAGGAAUACCGGUGGCGAAGGCGGCCCCCUGGACGAAGACUGACGCUCAGGUGCGAAAGCGUGGGGAGCAAACAGG